Molecule: long non-coding RNA, 5614 nt
Filed under: Homo sapiens (human)
Lineage: Eukaryota; Metazoa; Chordata; Mammalia; Primates; Hominidae
Description: HSALNT0226752
Source: RNAcentral
CUGGGCAGAAGCGGCCCCUCCCCGGCCUGGGGCUUGGGAUCUUUCCGGGAGACACCGAGGGAGACAGUAGAGGCCGCUCCUCCCUGCUGCGCGGCACCCCCACCCCCCCGCAGGGGUGGAUGGGCACCUCGGAGGCAAGCCAGGGGCUGGUGGGGGCCGGAACAGUGGCGGGAUUUCUGCAGGUGUGACCGGGGUUUCUAAUCAGGUGACUUGGCGUUCAUCAGAAGGGAGGUUGAUCUGGCCGAGCCUGGCUAGCUCAGGUGCACCCUUUAAGAGGCUGGAAGCCACAGAGCCGCCCCCUCCUGAUGCCAAAGAAGCAUAUGGCCAUCGGCUCCACAGCUGCGAGAAAGAUUAUGCACACAACGACAUGCGCUCAGGAGGGGACCUCGCGCCUCGGUUGAGAUCCCAGCCCUGGCUGACACCUUGAGUGCAGCCUGUGAGACCCUGAGCAGAGGUUCAGCAGUCCCCUCCCCGGACUCCUGCCACACAGAAGCCAUGAGGCAUCCCCAUCACACACUAGGCUUGGUGACUGCACUUGAGGGACUCACAGGACUUAGCCUACCAUCAUACUAGUGGCUGGGAUUUACUACGGUGAAAAGAUGCGACGCAGAAUUAGUAACAGGAAGAUGCAUUUGGGGUGAGGGCCGGAGGAAACCAGGUACAAGCCCCCAGAGUCCCCUCCCCUGGGGUCCCCUCCCGCAGAAUGUGCUGAAUCCUCCAGCCUCGAGCUGUGACAUGUGCAAAGUGUUCUCUACCAGGGAAGCCUGCCUGAGCCCAGGAGUCCAGGGUUUUCACUGGGGGUUGCUCAUGUAGGUACGUUGUGCCUGCGUGACUGAAUAUGGUCACCGAAAUGCCAGGCUCAGAAGAAAAGCAAGUGUUCAGCAAAUAUCACAUGAUUUGUAUAGAAAAGAGUGAGCAGUUGUUAUUUGGGGAUAGUAUUGUAUCCACAUAGGAGCUCUUUACCAGUCAAGUUCCCAGAUGCCAGCUGGGCGUGGUGGCUCAUGCCUGUAAUCCCAGCACUUUAGGAGUCCGAGGCGGGUGGAUCACUUGAGGUCGGGAGUUCGUGACCAGCCUAGCCAACAUAGCGAAACCCCGUCUCCACUAAAAAUACAAAAAUUAGCUGAGCGUGGUGGUGCGCACUUCUAAUCCCAGCUACCUGGGAUCACUCACAGUGAUCUUGCAGUGAGCCAAGAUCACACCACUGCACUCCAGCCUGGGCGACAGAGUGAGACUCCGUCUCAAAAAAAAAAAAAAAAAAAAAAAAGUUCCCAGAUGCCAGCCAAGGGUGAACCUUGCACACAGGCUGUUCUUAGGGCAGCAGUCUCAGGCCUGCUGUGUUACAUUAAUUGGUUUUGCAUGUUGAUGCAUUCCUGGGAUAAAUCUUACUUGGUCAUGGUAUAUAAUCCUUUUUUAUGUUGCUGGAUUCUGUUUGCUGGUAUUCUACGUUCCUAAGAAAUACUGGUCUGUAGUUUUCUCUUUGUGAUUCCUUUGCUUGGUUUUGAUAUCAGGGUGAUACUGGUCUUAGAGAAUGAGCUGGGGCCAAGCAUUGCGGCUCAUGCUUGUAAUGCCAGCACUUUGGGAGGCCAAGGCAGGUGGACUGAUUGAGCCCAGGAGUUGGAGACCAGCCUGGACAACAUGGGAAAACCCCGUUUCUACUAAAAAUAGAAAAAUUAGCCAGGCGUGGUGGUGCGUGCAUGUAGUCCCAGCUACUCAGGAGGGUGAGGUUCAAGUGAGCUGAGAUGGCACCACUGCACUCCAGCCUGGGUGUCAGAAUGAGACUCUGCCAGAAUGAGGUCCAUAGUAAGGUCUCAUCUUUAUUCCUGAUUUUAGUAUUUUCAGUAUUCUUGCUUUUCAAUUUUUUUGAUCUGUAGAUAGAGCUAAAUAUUUGUCAAUUUUAUUGAUCCUUAUACAGAACCAACUUUUGGUUUCAUUUAUUAUUUAUUUCCUUCCUUCUGCUUCAGUUUUUUUUUUUUUUUUUUUUUUUUUUUUGAGAUGAGUCUUGCUCUGUCGCCCAGGCUGGAGUGCAGUGGCGCAAUCUCGACUCACUGCAACCUCCACCUCCUGGGUUCAAGCAAUUCUCCUGCUACAGGCUCCCACCACCACGCCUGGCUAAUUUUUCUAUCUUUAGUAGAGAUGGGGUUUCACCAUGUUGGUCAGGCUGGUCUUGAACCCGUGGUCUCGUGAUCUACCUCCCUCGGUCUCCCAGUGUGCUGGGAUUACAGGUGUGAGCCACCACGCCCAGACUUUUAGUUCUUUUUUUUUUAGUUUUUCUAUUUUUUGUGGAGAUGAGGUCUUGCCCAUGCUAGUAUGGAACUCCUGGGCUCAAGCGAUCCUCCCACCCUAGCCACCCAAAAUGCUAGGAUUACAGGUGUGAGCCACCAUGCUUGGCCCUGUUUAUUCAUUUAGAGAUGGGAUCUUGCUCUGUCUCCCAGGCUGGAGUGCAGUGGUACAAUCAUGCUUCACUGCAGCCUCAAUCUCCCAGGUUCAAGCGAUACUACCAGCACAUGCUACCAUGACUGGCUGAGUUUUUGGCAGAGACGAGGUCUCACCAUGUUGCCCAGGCUUCUUCCUUUUUAAUAGAAGUGUUUUUAGCUAUAGAUUUCCCUCUAAGCACGGCUUUCAGUGCAUCCCAUAAGUUUUAUUUCAAAGUAUUUUAUAAUUAUCUUCUUUGGCUCAUUGUUUUGUUUGUUUUAAAUUACACACAGGGUCAUGCUCUGUUGCCCCAACUGGUUUCAAACUCCUGGGCUCAAGUGAUCCUCCUGCCUCUGCCUCCCAGAGUGUUGAGAUUACAGGCGUGAGCCACCAUGCCCAGUCUGACUCACUGGUUUCUUAUAAGUGUGUUCUUUAAUUUCUACGUAUUUCUGAGUUUCCCAAAUUUCUCUGUUUUUGAUUUGGUUUUUGUUUGUCACCUAGGCUGGAGUGCAGUGGCACAAUCUUGGCUCACUGCAACCUCUGCCUCCCGAAUAGCUUGGAUUACAUGCAUGUACCACCAUGCCUGACUAAUUUUUGUAUUUUUAGUAGAGAUGGGGUUUCACCAUGUUGGCCAGGCUGGUCUCGAACUCCUGACCUCAAAUGAUCUGCCUGCCUUGGCCUCCCAAAGUGCUGGAAUUACAAAUGAUCUGCCUGCCUUGGCCUCCCAAAGUGCUGGAAUUACAGGUAUGAGCCACUGUAUCCAGCCGUGAAAGGACUGAAAUGAUACAAAGUAUGUUCUUUGACCAUAGUGGGAUGUAAUUACAAACCAAUAACAAGGCUGGGCACAGUGGCUCUUGCCUGUAAUCCCAGCACUCGGGAGACCCGAGACAGGAGGAUCAUUUGAGGUCAGAAGUUUGAGACUCAGCCUGGCCACCAUGAUAAAACCCUAUCUCUACUGCAAAUACAAAAAUCAGCUCGGUGUGGUGGUACAUGCCUGUAAUCCCAGCUACUCAGGGGGCUGAGACAGGAGAAUUGCUUGAACCCGGAAGGUAGAGUUUGCAGUGAGCUGAGAUCAUGCCGCUGUACUCCAGCCUGGGCCACACACAGACUCCAUCUCAAAAAAUAAAAUAAUGGACUCUUGCUUUAUGGCCUGGCUGUGGUUGAGAAGAACCUGAAUUCUGCUGCUGGCAGCUUCCCUCUUGUUCUCUCUCUGUCCCAUGGCUGUCAUGUGAAGGAUGCUCAAGUGGGCCCAAGGAGGGGUCCCUAUGGUGAGGAGCAGGGCCUCCAGCCUCACUUGGGCCUUCAGAUGACUGCCACCCUGGCUGACAAAUUCUCUUCAACCUCAGGAGUCAGAACCACCCAGCCCAACCACUCCCAUAAUGUUGACCCACAAAAGCUGAGACAGCAAAUAUUUGUUGUUUUAAGCCCACUACGUUUUGUUGUAAUUGGUCAUGCACCAUUAGAUAACAAAUACAAUUACCCAUAAAUCUGCUGGCUUUCAGGAGAACACGUCUUGAAGCACAGCUGAACUUGAAUCUUUUCUGUGGAAAAAUAAUUGAAAAUAUGAAUUAAUAAUUCUUCUCUUGUUGAAGCUGACAGAACCAAGGACACACACCUUGUUAACGACGCCCUCAAGGCUGUGAGGAGAAAGACAACCGGGUGAAGCAACGCUGGGAAUUCAACGCAUCAAUUACCUUCCCAGGUAACAGCAGCUACUUGAGCUCCUAAGAGUUGACCUUCAGCUGCUGUCAUGGAAAAUAGUGGGGGUCAACUAGACAUCAAAGAUGAAAGGCCAGGCCUCCAGCACAACUUUCUCUGUAAGCUCGAUAGUGGCUUUCUCAAAGAAAUCCUUUUCUCAAAAAAAUUUCUUGUAAAGACAGGGUCUUGUUCUGUCACCCAGGCUGGACUGCAGUGCAUGGCUCACUGCAGCCUCAACCUCCCGGGCUAGAGUGAUCCUCCCCUUUUCUGAGGAGCUCAGACCACAAGCGUGCACCACUGUGCCCAGCUGAUUUAUAAACUUUUUUUUUAGAGACAGGGUUUCACCAUGUUGGCCAGGCUGUUUUCUUUCAAGGUUUCACCAUGUUGGCCAGGCUGUUUUCUUUUCUUCUCUUUUUUUGAGAUGGAGUUUCACUCUUGUUGCCCAGGCUGGAGGGCAGUGGCGCGAUCUUGGCUCACUGCAACCUCCGCCUCCCAGGUUCAAGUGAUUCUCCUGCCUCCCAAGCAGCUGGGAUUACAGCGUAGCUGGGAUUACAGGCAUGCGUCACCAUGUCCAGCUAAUUUUGUAUUUUUAGUAGAGACGGGGUUUCUCCAUGUUGAUCAGGAUGGUCUCGAACUCCUGACCUCAGGUGAUCCGCCUGCCUCAGCCUCCCAAAGUGCUGGGAUUACAGGCGUGAGCCACUGUGCCUGGCCAACUUGGAUUUGUUACUGUUAUACAGGACAUGGCCCUUAAUAUUCACAUGAAUGACAGUGAGACACACAAUGCUUUCUAAAGAUUGGUUUUGGCCGGGUGUGGUGGUGCACACCUGUAAUCCCAGUUACUCGGGAGGCUGAGGCAGGAGAAUCACUUGAACCCAGGAGGCAGAGGUUGCAGUGAGCCAAGAUGGCUCCAUUGCACUCCAGCCUGGGCAACAAGAGCAAAACUCUGACUCAAGAAAAAAAAAAGGUUGGGCACAGUGACUCACGCCUGUAAUCCUAGCACUUUGGGAGGCCAAGACAGGCGGAUCACGAGGUCAGAAGAUCAAGACCAUCCUGGCUAACAUGGUGAAACCCCGUCUCUACUAAAAAUACAAAAAAUUAGCUGGGCUUGGUGGCAGGCACCUGUAGUCCCAGCUACUCGGGAGGCUGAGGCAGGAGAAUGGUGUGAACCCGGGAGGCGGAGCUUGCAGUGAGCCGAGAUCGCGCCAGUGCACUCCAGCCUGGGCAACAGAGCAAGACUCAGUCUCAAAAAAAAAAAAAAAAAAAAAAACAAAGACUGGUUUCACAUUCUGUUUAUAUGAAUAAUUUGUGUGUGCACAAAAGCAGUCUGCUCAGUGGGUGCCUGGCCUGGGGCAUCAGUUCUGAGCUGGAAGAGAUGAGGAUGCCCACAGCCCUGCCUCUGCCCCACAGCCUGCCUGUACCUGGGUCCUCCUGCUGGGCCGUGGUGGGGAGCCGCUCCCGUUGCCUCAAGGCCUCCAGGCCUGCCAGGUCAGGCUGAUGGCAGUGG